GAGAAAAACAGGAAGUGGAGCCUGAGAGCAAAGGCUGCAGCAGCCCUACCCGGGGCGGGGAGUGUGGCAGCCCCCUCCCCCCCGCAGCCUUACGGGAAAGUGGUCAGGGGGCAGCCCCAGCCUGAGCAGGGGGCAGGGGGUUGGGGGAGAGGAGAACCCAGUAUGGACCCUUUAACCACGAGGAGGUUUAUUUUUAGAUCAAACCUCACCCUUGGCUCUGGCAUUUCACAUCUUCUCUCACCUGCUCACAUCACCUCCUCAAGGUUGGCACCAUUACCCCCAUUUUCCCGGUAAGCGAAGAAACCCAGAGAAGUUAAGCGACUUGGCCGAGGCCACACAGCUUUUCCCACGGCUGGGUCACGGCUCCUUGAUUCUUUCUCAGACUUUGAUUUCUAUUUGUGGUGUGUUUUUGUUCCGGGCCUGUGAGCACGCAGGGGGUGAGGGGAGGCAGGGGAGGCGGGACGGUGCAGGGGGAGGGGGCUUUCUCUGGCUUCUGCCUCUGGCACAUCCGAGCUAGCUAGCCGAGCUAGCCGCAAGACAGGCAGCACGGCCAGCCUCCGAGAGCCCAUCCCUAGAGGUCCUGGUUCCUGGAAUGCGUGAGCAGGAAGGGCCAGGAGGAGGGGAGAGGGAGCCAGGGAGGGGAAGGCAGCCAGAUGACAGCCGAGGAGGAAGGGUGCCCUCCCCCCAAAUACAGAAGCAAGUAUCUAUGACCCCAGCUGGCCAACGACCAUCCCAAGGACUCAGAAAUUCAGGUCUGUGAAGACCCUCCACCAAGGCUCUCGGGCCUGGCAUCUGGCAGCGUCCCCCAGCUUUGAGGAGCCCCAAUGGGUGUCCCCUCUGACACCUGUCCUCAAGGCUGAGAUGUGGACAUACCUGCACGCUGGCGGAUGGAUAUUUCUUUCAUUCAUUCAUUCAUUCAUCAUCAGUGUCUUAAUGAGCCUCAACAACAAGCCAAGGUCUCUGCUCUUCUGGAAAUUGUGUCCUAAAGGGGGAGACAGCUGAGCAAAUAAUCUCAGGGCCACCGCUUGUGAUUCAUGGAACAACAUAGGCUAUUGAGGGAGAGUAAUGGGGAACCCAUCAGAGCAGGCCUCUCAAG
Molecule: long non-coding RNA, 1096 nt
Filed under: Sus scrofa (pig)
Lineage: Eukaryota; Metazoa; Chordata; Mammalia; Artiodactyla; Suidae
Description: lncRNA (ENSSSCG00070029518.1)
Source: RNAcentral